Non-coding RNA from Erinaceus europaeus (western European hedgehog), 102 nucleotides. The record is from Rfam. NCBI's taxonomy places the organism in Eukaryota, Metazoa, Chordata, Mammalia, Eulipotyphla, Erinaceidae.
UGGGCAGACAUGCUCCAUGGCUUUCAGAAUAAGGUCCUUUGUGCGCACUCAGACCCUUACAAAUACAAAAUCGCCUUCAUCUUGGAUGCCCGGUGCUUCUGG